Cygnus olor (mute swan) is the source of this 2304-nucleotide long non-coding RNA. RefSeq lists it as uncharacterized. Lineage: Eukaryota; Metazoa; Chordata; Aves; Anseriformes; Anatidae. The record is from RefSeq and is a predicted model, not a curated record. The transcript is spliced from 3 exons.
CUCCUACCUCAUGCUGCUUGCCUGGUGCGUAUGAUGCUCUUGCCACUUUGUGUUCCUUGGCAGAGCACAGGUGUGGUGGAGAUAUUGAAGGGAGAGCCAGUAGCACCAAGACUGCAGAAGCAGAAAAGUUGAAGACGUAGAAGUGCCAGCGGAAGGUUGGCUCUCUUUUUCUGGCUCUGCUGUGAAUUAAGUUCAACCUUUCCUUAAGAAGGUUUGUGUUUCAGAACAGCACAUUAAAAAAAAAACUUGACCCAAGCCCCCAAACAAGAUAGUUGAUGGAAGAAAAAAGCUCUCUGCUUAGGUUUGAAAAUUCUUCAAGAGGAGGAAUGCAAAGGGACUGAAGAACUCAAGCAGUUGUCGUCCAUGCCCCUUCUCCAUGCCAACAUAUUUCUUUCUUCCAACUUCUGAUCGCAAAUUAGUAGUUUAGUAACUGACCGUGUAGUGUUUUGGACUAUUAUUCUAUUUGGGUCUGCUUUCACCUAAAUAACAACCAUCUGGUGGUGUCUCAAAUCAGAUACCUGUGAUGGACUGUGUAUAAUAACCAGUUCAAGGACUGUCAGGGGAAGGGUUAACAUUCUUGCCCCGAGCAGAAGGACCGCAGCUGCAUGCCGUAAACUUAGCACAAAGAUUGUCAGGGUAGAAGGCCUGGGUCAGCUGUAAAGAAUUAAGCAAAUCCCCCUACUACAAGAAGAGGGAAGAAGAAGAGUGGAAUUAAGAAGUCUCUUUCUGUCUUUGUGUUUGGUUCAUGGUGAAAUAGAUAUCUGAGAACAUUUGAAGCAUACCUCAACCCUUAGCCUCUACGCAAUUUUUUCUCAUGGAAGGUCUUGCACCUUGAUCUCACAGAACCUGAGCAAUCCAUCUUCUGUUCCAGUAAUGUGUGAAGUUUGAAGAAGGAAAGGUGGAAGUUUUACUCUAUGUUGAAAUGUUCCCAGUGCAAACCCUUCUUCAAGAACAAGACUGAAGCAUAAACGUGUCUUGUUUUCUCCUAGAUGUUGUAUACUUCUUCAGAACAAACAGUUUCCAAACGCAGAGUUCUGUGAAAGGUUUAUCACAGGGAGAUGGGGAAAUGGCACGUCUUCCUCUUACAAAUCAUGGGACAGCUGGAAACAAAAGUAUGUGUCACAGGAUAUUAGUGAUGGAAAAAAAAAGUAUUAAGGGCUGGUUGACUUUGUAUAUCCAAAGUCUCUUUUGUGGAGAACAGGAAUGUGAAAUACUGGAGCGUCUUGCAGAAAGGAGGCUUCCACAAAAAGACAAGGCUGAGGAUGCUAUUACAGCCUGGGACCAUGGUAAGCGUGUAGUCUGGACUCCUCGUGAUGGGUGGUGAAGGCCACAUUAUGAUUUCUUGUUUCUUUCUGCUUUCUCAGGUUCUUUGAAUUUGUCGAGGUGCCAAGGGUUAUUGAGCUUUGCUCUUUUUCUUUGUUCUUUUUUAGCUGUGGGUUGGAAAGCAAUUUGCCUCUAUGCGUAUGUGUUAAUGCACAAUAUGUGUAUAUACAUACAACAAAUAUGCAUAGAUAUAAAUAUGUGUGUAUACAUGCAAAAACAUCUUCAAGACUAUAAAUCUUUUAUACUGAAUUAUGCAAAAGCAGAGCCAUAUGCUUAUCUUUGUAACCAUAAAGAAUCCCACUGAAAUCAGUAAAAUUUCUUCCAGCAAUAGAGGAUGCGUGGGGUUUUGACUCUGUUUUGACAGCUCAGAGUAAAGGCUGGCUUUUUUUGUUCUAAGCUCAAAUCCAGGCACUUGCUGUUUGUCAGAAGGCUGCUGCUCCUCUUGUGUCUUUGGAGGAACUGCCUGAGGGAGCAGUCACCCACCUGAACCUUUGCUCCUGCCUUUCUUGACUUGUGUGAGUCAACACUUUAUAAACUUACUUGUUUUCUCCAUAACUGUUGCUGCACUGCAUGGCUCUGAAGCUGCUGUCCAUCUGUAAGAUUUAAAGCAAGACUCUUGACUUUAUCUGCUGUUGACAAUGGAAAAAGCAGAUUUGUUCUGGCUUUCUAUUUUUUGUAGGGGUAGGACUAUAUUUGAUAUAUGAAAACAUUUUUCAAAAUGAUUAGAUCAAUCCCUCUGUAAUUUGAUUUGUUGGGUGGGAGGAGGGGAGGUGGAGAAAAAAAAAAAAGUACUGUAGACUGUUUCUCAAUAAAACUGCAACAACUAAGACUCCAGACCAACAAACACUUACACAUGUGCUUAGCUUCAAGUCUGAGUUAGACCCAAGGGGCCUAUAUUUGUAUUUGAUUAAUGACAAUUAUUUGAAGAGAGAUGGACUGGAUGGAAUCAACUGGAAAAAAUAUGUAGCUAUAAAAAUGUAU